GGAGUGCGGCCGCAAGGNUAAAACUCAAAGGAAUUGACGGGGACCCGCACAAGCAGCGGAGCGUGUGGUUUAAUUCGAGGCUACGCGAAGAACCUUACCAGGGUUUGACAUGAUGGUGGUAGUGAUUCGAAAGAUGAACGACCCUUCGGGGAGCCAUCACAGGUGCUGCAUGGCUGUCGUCAGCUCGUGCCGUGAGGUGUUAGGUUAAGUCCUGUAACGAGCGCAACCCACGUCGGUAGUUAUACGUGUCUAGCGAGACUGCCCGUGAUAAGCGGGAGGAAGGUGUGGAUGACGUCAAGUCAGCAUGGCCUUUAUAUCCUGGGCUACACACACGCUACAAUGGCCGGUACAAUGGGCAGCGAAACCGCGAGGUGGAGCCAAUCCUCUAAAGCCGGUCUCAGUUCGGAUUGUAGGCUGCAACUCGCCUGCAUGAAGUCGGAGUUGCUAGUAAACGUGCGUCAGCAACAGCGCGUUGAAUACGUUCCCGGGUCUUGCACACAC
RNAcentral lists this ribosomal RNA (501 nucleotides) under uncultured Chloroflexota bacterium. RNAcentral's name for it is "bacterial SSU rRNA". It matches the Rfam family "Bacterial small subunit ribosomal RNA", at positions 877 to 1390 of the family's 1533-position model. The record is from RNAcentral. Lineage: Bacteria; Bacillati; Chloroflexota.